GACGAACGCUGGCGGCAUGCCUAAUACAUGCAAGUCGAGCGAACAGAUGAAGUGCUUGCACUUCUGACGUUAGCGGCGAACGGGUGAGUAACACGUAAGGAAUCUACCUAUAAGCGGGGGAUAACAUUCGGAAACGGGUGCUAAUACCGCAUAAUAUCUUCUUCCGCAUGGGAGAAGAUUGAAAGACGGCUCUGCUGUCACUUAUAGAUGACCUUGCGGCGCAUUAGUUAGUUGGUGGGGUAAUGGCCUACCAAGACGAUGAUGCAUAGCCGACCUGAGAGGGUGAUCGGCCACAUUGGGACUGAGACACGGCCCAAACUCCUACGGGAGGCAGCAGUAGGGAAUCUUCCGCAAUGGGCGAAAGCCUGACGGAGCAAUGCCGCGUGAGUGAAGAAGGCCUUCGGGUCGUAAAACUCUGUUAUAAGAGAAGAACAAAUUGUAGAGUAACUGCUACAGUCUUGACGGUAUCUUAUCAGAAAGCCACGGCUAACUACGUGCCAGCAGCCGCCGUAA
This 513-nucleotide ribosomal RNA is filed under the name uncultured bacterium. Its description in RNAcentral is "partial 16S ribosomal RNA". It matches the Rfam family "Bacterial small subunit ribosomal RNA", at positions 28 to 523 of the family's 1533-position model. The record is from RNAcentral.